AAAGCCGUAAUCGCGAAAUUAUGCGAAUU
RNAcentral lists this small RNA (29 nucleotides) under Bombyx mori (domestic silkworm). RNAcentral describes it as "ovarian small RNA-10068". Lineage: Eukaryota; Metazoa; Arthropoda; Insecta; Lepidoptera; Bombycidae. The record is from RNAcentral.